RNAcentral lists this ribosomal RNA (503 nucleotides) under uncultured bacterium. Its description in RNAcentral is "partial 16S ribosomal RNA". It matches the Rfam family "Bacterial small subunit ribosomal RNA", at positions 30 to 523 of the family's 1533-position model. The record is from RNAcentral.
AUUGAACGCUGGCGGCAGGCUUAACACAUGCAAGUCGAGCGGGGUGAUGGUGCUUGCACUAUCACUUAGCGGCGGACGGGUGAGUAAUGCUUAGGAAUCUGCCUAUUAGUGGGGGACAACAUCUCGAAAGGGAUGCUAAUACCGCAUACGUCCUACGGGAGAAAGCAGGGGAUCACUUGUGACCUUGCGCUAAUAGAUGAGCCUAAGUCGGAUUAGCUAGUUGGUGGGGUAAAGGCCUACCAAGGCGACGAUCUGUAGCGGGUCUGAGAAGAUGAUCCGCCACACUGGGACUGAGACACGGCCCAGACUCCUGCGGGAGGCAGCAGUGGGGAAUAUUGGACAAUGGGGGGAACCCUGAUCCAGCCAUGCCGCGUGUGUGAAGAAGGCCUUAUGGUUGUAAAGCACUUUAAGCGAGGAGGAGGCUCUUUUGGUUAAUACCCAAGAUGAGUGGACGUUACUCGCAGAAUAAGCACCGGCUAACUCUGUGCCAGCAGCCGCCGUAA